Molecule: ribosomal RNA, 433 nt
Filed under: uncultured bacterium
Lineage: Bacteria
Description: partial 16S ribosomal RNA
Rfam family: Bacterial small subunit ribosomal RNA
Source: RNAcentral
AACGAACGCUGGCGGCAUGCCUAACACAUGCAAGUCGAACGAGACCUUCGGGUCUAGUGGCGCACGGGUGCGUAACGCGUGGGAACCUGCCCUUAGGUUCGGAAUAACUCCCCGAAAGGGGUGCUAAUACCGGAUAAUGUCUUCGGACCAAAGAUUUAUCGCCUUUGGAUGGGCACGCGUUGGAUUAGCUAGUUGGUAGGGUAAAAGCCUACCAAGGCGACGAUCCAUAGCUGGUCUGAGAGGAUGAUCAGCCACACUGGGACUGAGACACGGCCCAGACUCCUACGGGAGGCAGCAGUGGGGAAUAUUGGACAAUGGGCGAAAGCCUGAGUCAGCAAUGCCGCGUGAGUGAUGAAGGCCUUAGGGUUGUAAAGCUCUUUUAACCGGGAUGAUAAUGACAGUACCGGGAGAAUAAGCUCCGGCUAACUCCGUG